GACGAACGCUGGCGGCGUGCUUAACACAUGCAAGUCGAACGGAAAGGCCCUGCUUGCAGGGUACUCGAGUGGCGAACGGGUGAGUAACACGUGGGUGAUCUGCCCUGCACUCCGGGAUAAGCCUGGGAAACUGGGUCUAAUACCGGAUAGGAGCCAUUUUUAGUGUGAUGGUUGGAAAGUUUUUUCGGUGUAGGAUGAGCUCGCGGCCUAUCAGCUUGUUGGUGGGGUAAUGGCCUACCAAGGCGGCGACGGGUAGCCGGCCUGAGAGGGUGGACGGCCACAUUGGGACUGAGAUACGGCCCAGACUCCUACGGGAGGCAGCAGUGGGGAAUAUUGCACAAUGGGCGCAAGCCUGAUGCAGCGACGCCGCGUGGGGGAUGACGGCCUUCGGGUUGUAAACUCCUUCGCUAGGGACGAAGCUUUUUGUGACGGUACCUAGAUAAGAAGCACCGGCUAACUACGUG
Molecule: ribosomal RNA, 464 nt
Filed under: uncultured bacterium
Lineage: Bacteria
Description: partial 16S ribosomal RNA
Rfam family: Bacterial small subunit ribosomal RNA
Source: RNAcentral